This 315-nucleotide long non-coding RNA is filed under the name Homo sapiens (human). RNAcentral's name for it is "HSALNT0254381". The record is from RNAcentral. Lineage: Eukaryota; Metazoa; Chordata; Mammalia; Primates; Hominidae.
AGGAGAAUCGCUUGAACCCAGGAGGUGGAUUGUUGCAGUGAACUGAGACUGCACCACUGCAGUUCAGCCUGGGUGACAGAGUGAGACUCCGUUUAAAAAAAAAAAAUGUGUAUAGUUCAGAGGUAUUUAUAAAUUCAUGGAGUUAUGCAAACAUUAUCUGAAAAGAAAAUGUUUUGUGUUGAUUUUUACUGGAUAUGAGGGGUUCUUCACAUUUUAACAGGAGGAUCUUUCUGUAUAUUUUUGUUUGUUUGUUUUUUUGAGAUGGAGUUUCACUCUGUCACCCAGGCUGGAGUGCAGUGGCAGUGUAGUCCCGAG